CGGUGGUCCAGUGGUAUAUGCAAUGGGCUAUCAAUUGGCUGGCGUGGGUUCCAUUCCC
RNAcentral lists this transfer RNA (58 nucleotides) under Eutreptiella gymnastica. The record is from RNAcentral. Lineage: Eukaryota; Euglenozoa; Euglenophyceae; Eutreptiales; Eutreptiaceae.